RNAcentral lists this ribosomal RNA (377 nucleotides) under uncultured delta proteobacterium. RNAcentral describes it as "bacterial SSU rRNA". It matches the Rfam family "Bacterial small subunit ribosomal RNA", at positions 521 to 896 of the family's 1533-position model. Lineage: Bacteria; Deltaproteobacteria. The record is from RNAcentral.
UAAUACGGAGGGCGCAAGCGUUGUUCGGAAUUAUUGGGCGUAAAGCGCGUGUAGGUGGCUUGGUAAGUUGGAUGUGAAAGCCCGGGGCCCAACCCCGGAAUUGCAUUCAAAACUCCCAGGCUAGAGUCCCGGAGAGGAUGGCGGAAUUCCCGGUGUAGAGGUGAAAUUCGUAGAUAUCGGGAGGAACACCAGUGGCGAAGGCGGCCAUCUGGACGGUGACUGACACUGAGACGCGAAAGCGUGGGGAGCAAACAGGAUUAGAUACCCUGGUAGUCCACGCCGUAAACGUUGUGUGCUAGGUGUCGCGGGUAUUGACCCCUGCGGUGCCGACGUUAACGCAUUUAGCACACCGCCUGGGGAGUACGGUCGCAAGGCUA